Long non-coding RNA from Acanthochromis polyacanthus (spiny chromis), 995 nucleotides. RefSeq lists it as uncharacterized. Lineage: Eukaryota; Metazoa; Chordata; Actinopteri; Pomacentridae. The transcript has 4 exons. The record is from RefSeq and is a predicted model, not a curated record.
AAAUGAAGAUGUAAAAUGUUCUCGUGAAACACUGAACCCUACUCGGCCUCAGGGAAGAAUCCAAAAAAGAUUCUCGAGAAGGCGUUUUGGCAUGAAAACAAAACGAGGGGAGGAGUCGAGCUGUAAUUGCCCGGGCACGUGCGCCGCUCAUCCCGACAUUUCCAAGAUCCCUGCCAACUUUCUCGCCUACUUCCAGUCAAUCGACAUGGAUCUCACUUUCACUUUCCCUCGCUCACCUGCAUAAAAGCAGGUGCAGCUCCUCACCUCCAGCACCAAACACCUCCGCUCUCCUGAAGAGAAGCAGCCGAGCCGAGCCGAGAACCUACGAAGAACCAGAGACAUGGCCUCCAAAGUUGCAGCUCUGCUCUUGCUGGGUAUCAUCUGCUUCGGGCUUGCAGCAGCUGACAUUCCAGCGGACUGCUGUCUGAAAACUUCUGACAGACGCUUCCCCCCAAACUCAUUGCAAGCUACACACUUCAGGAUGCAAACAAAGGCUGCCCGAUCAAGGCUACUGUGGUCAUCACAAAGUUAGGAAGGAAACUGUGUCUCGCCCACCCCGAUGACAUCCAACAGAACUAGAGAAGAGUGGCUGAAGACUAAAAUGAUGGCUGAGAACAGAAUCAUUUCAGUCCUGGAGCAGCCGUGUCGUACUGUACGAGAUGUCAGAGGACGAGAAUCAUCUCCUCUUACAUCUUAUUUAUCUUAUUUUAUUUCAUCUGGAUGUGUUUGUUCCUCAUGUGUGGUGGCGGUGGCGGUGUAAUUGUGGUUGCCUUUUUCUUUCUGCUUUUUUACGAUGAGUGACGUGUACUGUAAAAAUAGAAACACCUGCCUUGACUUGCCUGAAGAGUUUGGUUGUUUGAUCAGUGCUGUAUGCUGCUAAAUUUGCAGUGCUGUGUUUGUGACGACGUGUGGAAAAUGUUGAAAGGAUAAUUUGUGGAUGUUGAGACUGUUACUGAGAGCUACUUUAAAAUAAACUUUUGAUACUGUUUUGUAAA